Molecule: unclassified non-coding RNA, 375 nt
Filed under: uncultured Micrococcales bacterium
Lineage: Bacteria; Bacillati; Actinomycetota; Actinomycetes; Micrococcales
Description: contains 16S-23S intergenic spacer region
Source: RNAcentral
UCCGGCUUAUCACCGGCAGUCUCCCUAGAGUGCCCAACUUAAUGAUGGCAACUAGGGACGAGGGUUGCGCUCGUUGCGGGACUUAACCCAACAUCUCACGACACGAGCUGACGACAACCAUGCACCACCUGUAUACCGACCUUGCGGGGAGAACAUUUCUGAACUUUUCCGGUAUACGUCAAGCCUUGGUAAGGUUCUUCGCGUUGCAUCGAAUUAAUCCGCAUGCUCCGCCGCUUGUGCGGGCCCCCGUCAAUUCCUUUGAGUUUUAGCCUUGCGGCCGUACUCCCCAGGCGGGGAACUUAAUGCGUUAGCUGCGACACAGAAACCGUGGAAUGGCCCCCACACCUAGCGCCCAACGUUUACGGCGUGGACUAC